Molecule: ribosomal RNA, 496 nt
Filed under: uncultured bacterium
Lineage: Bacteria
Description: partial 16S ribosomal RNA
Rfam family: Bacterial small subunit ribosomal RNA
Source: RNAcentral
GAUGAACGCUGGCGGCGUGCCUAAUACAUGCAAGUCGAGCGAACAGACGAGGAGCUUGCUCCUCUGACGUUAGCGGCGGACGGGUGAGUAACACGUGGAUAACCUACCUAUAAGACUGGGAUAACUUCGGGAAACCGGAGCUAAUACCGGAUAAUAUAUUGAACCGCAUGGUUCAAUAGUGAAAGACGGUUUUGCUGUCACUUAUAGAUGGAUCCGCGCCGCAUUAGCUAGUUGGUAAGGUAACGGCUUACCAAGGCGACGAUGCGUAGCCGACCUGAGAGGGUGCUCGCCCCCCCUGAACCUGAGCCCCGGCCCAGCCCCCACGGGGGGGCAGAGGUAGGGACUCUUCCGCAAGGGGCGAAACCCUGACGGGGCAACGCCGCGGGAGUGAUGAAGGUCUUCGGCUCGAAAAACUCUGUUAUUGGGGAAAAAAAAAUUUGAAAGUAACUAUGCCCGUCUUGACGGUACCUAACCAGAAAGCCCCGGCUAACUCCGU